RNAcentral lists this small RNA (520 nucleotides) under uncultured Glomus. Its description in RNAcentral is "SSU rRNA". It matches the Rfam family "Eukaryotic small subunit ribosomal RNA", at positions 569 to 1090 of the family's 1831-position model. The record is from RNAcentral. Lineage: Eukaryota; Fungi; Glomeromycota; Glomeromycetes; Glomerales; Glomeraceae.
AGCAGCCGCGGUAAUUCCAGCUCCAAUAGCGUAUAUUAAAGUUGUUGCAGUUAAAAAGCUCGUAGUUGAAUUUCGGGAUCAGUUGGUCGGUCGUGCCUCGGUACGUACUGGUCAAAUUGAUUCCUACCUUCUGACGAACCACGAUGUCAUUAAUUUGGUGUCGCGGGAAAUCAGGACUGUUACUUUGAAAAAAUUAGAGUGUUUAAAGCAGGCUCGCGCUUGAAUACAUUAGCAUGGAAUAAUGAAAUAGGACGUUUGAUUCUAUUUUGUUGGUUUCUAGGAUCGACGUAAUGAUUAAUAGGGAUAGUUGGGGGGCAUUAGUAUUCAAUUGUCAGAGGUGAAAUUCUUGGAUUUAUUGAAGACUAACUACUGCGAAAGCAUUUGCCAAGGAUGUUUUCAUUAAUCAAGAACGAAAGUUAGGGGAUCGAAGACGAUCAGAUACCGUCGUAGUCUUAACCAUAAACUAUGCCGACUAGGGAUCGGAUGAUGUUAAUUUUUUAAUGACUCAUUCGGCGCCUUA